CCACCAGCUCCGGGACCCCCCCGAGGCCCCACCCCCCACACCAGGGACCUCGGGGGGACCUUGGGGGCUCCAGGACCUUGGGGUCCUCCCCCACCUUGGGGGCCUCCAGGUUGGGGACCCCCAGGAGAUGCCACCUCGGGGACCUCGGGGACAAGAACUUUGGGGUCCACCAGCUUGAGGACCCCUGAGGCCACCACCUUGGGGACCUUGGGGACCUUGGGGUCACCAGCUCCAGGACCUUGGGGUCCACAGUCUUGGGGUCCUCCAGGUUGGGGACCCUCAGGAGAUGCCACCUUGGGGACCUCAGGGACCUUGGGGACUUUGGGGACCUUGGGGACAUGAGCUCUGGGACCUUGGAGUCCAUGGUCUUGGGGUCCUCCAGGUUGGGGACCCCCAGGAACUGCCACCUUGGGCACCUUGGGGACCUCGGGGACCUUGGGGACAGGGGUUCCAGGACCUUGGGGUCCUCCAGGUUGGGGACGUUGGGGACAUUGGGGCCAAGAACCUUGGGGCCCCCCAGCUGCAGGACCCAUGAAGCCACCACCUCGGGGACCUUGGGGACCUUGGGUUCCUCCAGCUUGAGGACCCCCAGGAGACGUCACCUUGGGGACCUUGGGGACAUGAGCUCCAGGUCCUUGGUGUCACCACCUCGGGGACCUUGGGGACAUGGUCUUUGGGACCUUGGAAUCCACGGUCUUGGGGUCCUCCAGCUUGGGGACCCCAGAGGCCACCACCUUGAGGACCUUGGGGACAUGGUCUUUGGGACCUUGGAGUCCACGGUCUUGGGGACCUUGGGGUCCUCCAGCUUGGGGACCUUGGGGACAUCGGGGCCAAGAACUUUGGGGUCCUCCAGCUCCUGGACCCCUGAGGCCACCACCCUGGGGACACCAGGGACAUGAUGAGCUCCAGGACCUUGGUGUCACCACCUCGGGGACCUCGGGGACAUGGUCUUGGGGACCUUGGAAUCCACCGUCUUGGGUUCCUCCAGGUUGGGGACCCCCAGGAGACGUCGUUUUGGGGCCACCAGGGUCAUGAGCUCCAGGCCCUUGGUGUCACCACCCUGAGGACCUCGGGGACCUUGAGGACACCAGCUCCAGGACCCCUCCCCCCCCGAUUUUUUUGGGGGGGGGUUUCUCUACGUCACCCCAACCCCCCCC
RNAcentral lists this long non-coding RNA (1157 nucleotides) under Calidris pugnax (ruff). RNAcentral describes it as "lncRNA (ENSCPUG00000002207.1)". The record is from RNAcentral. Lineage: Eukaryota; Metazoa; Chordata; Aves; Charadriiformes; Scolopacidae.